RNAcentral lists this non-coding RNA (165 nucleotides) under uncultured eukaryote. The record is from RNAcentral.
UUUUUUUUCAUCAACUUUUUUUUUCAAGUUUCUUUUUCGACGUUUUUUUUUCUCGUGUUUGGACGAUGUCUCAAACAAUGAGGUCUGUCGAUACCGCGGCGCUCAUGGCUUGGGUAAAAAGGGGAUAGUUAACUUAGUUACACUUAACCACGUAUGAAUUUCUUU